This 451-nucleotide ribosomal RNA is filed under the name uncultured bacterium. RNAcentral's name for it is "partial 16S ribosomal RNA". It matches the Rfam family "Bacterial small subunit ribosomal RNA", at positions 354 to 796 of the family's 1533-position model. The record is from RNAcentral.
GUGGGGAAUAUUGGGCAAUGGGCGCAAGCCUGACCCAGCGACGCCGCGUGGGCGAUGAAGGCCUUCGGGUUGUAAAGCCCUGUCAUGCGGAAAGAACGACCCUGUGACGCAUACUCACAGGGAGUGACGGUACCGCAGGAGGAAGCACCGGCUAACUCCGUGCCAGCAGCCGCGGUAAUACGGAGGGUGCAAGCGUUGUUCGGAAUUAUUGGGCGUAAAGGGCGCGUAGGCGGUAAUGUAAGUCAGAUGUGAAAUACUCCGGCUCAACCAGAGAAUUGCAUCUGAAACUGCAUAACUAGAGUACAGAAGAGGGAAACGGAAUUCCCGGUGUAGAGGUGAAAUUCGUAGAUAUCGGGAGGAACACCAGUGGCGAAGGCGGUUUCCUGGUCUGAUACUGACGCUGAGGCGCGAAAGCGUGGGGAGCAAACAGGAUUAGAUACCCCAGUAGUCC